CGCAGCCGCGGUAAUUCCAGCUCCAAUAGCGUAUAUUAAAGUUGUUGCAGUUAAAAAGCUCGUAGUUGAAUUUCGGGAUCAAUAUGUCGGUCGUGCCUUCGGUACGUACUGGCAUCAUUGAUUUCUCCCUUCUGACGAACCAUGAUGUCAUUAAUUUGGUGUCAUGGGGAGUCAGGACUGUUACUUUGAAAAAUUGAGUGUUUAAAGCAGGCUCACGCUUGAAUACAUUAGCAUGGAAUAAUGAAUUAGGACGUUUGAUCCUAUUUUGUUGGUUUCUAGGAUCGACGUAAUGAUUAAUAGGGAUAGUUGGGGGCAGUUAG
Molecule: ribosomal RNA, 320 nt
Filed under: uncultured Glomeromycotina
Lineage: Eukaryota; Fungi; Glomeromycota
Description: SSU rRNA
Rfam family: Eukaryotic small subunit ribosomal RNA
Source: RNAcentral